RNAcentral lists this ribosomal RNA (433 nucleotides) under uncultured bacterium. Its description in RNAcentral is "bacterial SSU rRNA". It matches the Rfam family "Bacterial small subunit ribosomal RNA", at positions 29 to 507 of the family's 1533-position model. The record is from RNAcentral.
AACGAACGCUGGCGGCAGGCCUAACACAUGCAAGUCGAGCGAACCCUUCGGGGUUAGCGGCGGACGGGUGAGUAACGCGUGGGAACGUGCCCUUUGCUACGGAAUAGCCCCGGGAAACUGGGAGUAAUACCGUAUGUGCCCUUCGGGGGAAAGAUUUAUCGGCAAAGGAUCGGCCCGCGUUGGAUUAGGUAGUUGGUGGGGUAAUGGCCUACCAAGCCGACGAUCCAUAGCUGGUUUGAGAGGAUGAUCAGCCACACUGGGACUGAGACACGGCCCAGACUCCUACGGGAGGCAGCAGUGGGGAAUCUUAGACAAUGGGCGCAAGCCUGAUCUAGCCAUGCCGCGUGAUCGAUGAAGGCCUUAGGGUUGUAAAGUCCUUUCAGAUGGGAAGAUAAUGACGGUACCAUCAGAAGAAGCCCCGGCUAACUCCGUG